UUGAAAACACCAACACUUUUCAUUCCUGGGAUUGUCCACAGUUUGCCAACAAAUUCACCGAGGCAAUUGCAGUCUCCUCCCCUGCACAGUUCAUGUUCCCCAUGGUGAAUCUGAACCUGAACGUGAACCUCUUCUUCAUGUGAUGGAGACGGUGGAGCAGCCCGAGGUGUCGGCGGAGGCGAUGGCGGUGCUGCUUUUGCCUUAUGGUUCUUGCUUGCGCAAGACUUGGCCAUCCUUAUUUUGCUUGAGAACUUUUUUG
Molecule: long non-coding RNA, 259 nt
Filed under: Coffea arabica (coffee)
Lineage: Eukaryota; Viridiplantae; Streptophyta; Magnoliopsida; Gentianales; Rubiaceae
Description: long non-coding RNA (CARA_LNC007373)
Source: RNAcentral